GAAAAUUAGAUAAAGUUGGUAGGGUAAAAGCCUACCAAGACGAUGAUGUUUAGCGGGGCCAAGAGGUUGUACCGCCACACUGGGAUUGAGAUACGGCCCAGACUCCUACGGGAGGCAGCAGUAAGGAAUAUUCCACAAUAAGCGAAAGCUUGAUGGAGCGACACAGCGUGCAGGAUGAAGUCUUUCGGGAUGUAAACUGCUGUUGUAAGGGAAGAAAAAACUAGAUAGGAAAUGCUCUAGUCUUGACGGUACCUUAUUAGAAAGCGACGGCAAACUAUGUGCCAGCAGCCGCGGUAAUACAUAGGUCGCAAGCGUUAUCCGGAAUUAUUGGGCGUAAAGCGUCCGUAGGUUUUUUGUUAAGUUUAAAGUUAAAUGCUAAAGCUCAACUUUAGUCCGCUUUAGAUACUGGCAAAAUAGAAUUAUGAAGAGGUUAGCGGAAUUCCUAGUGGAGUGGUGGAAUACGUAGAUAUUAGGAAGAACACCAAUAGGCGAAGGCAGCUAACUGGUCAUAUAUUGACACUAAGGGACGAAAGCGUGGGGAGCAAACAGGAUUAGAUACCCUGGUAGUCCACGCCGUAACGAUGAUCAUUAGUUGGUGGCAAAACCACAAAAACACACAAAAAA
RNAcentral lists this ribosomal RNA (624 nucleotides) under Mesomycoplasma hyopneumoniae. Its description in RNAcentral is "bacterial SSU rRNA". It matches the Rfam family "Bacterial small subunit ribosomal RNA", at positions 236 to 855 of the family's 1533-position model. Lineage: Bacteria; Bacillati; Mycoplasmatota; Mycoplasmoidales; Metamycoplasmataceae. The record is from RNAcentral.